AUUGAACGCUGGCGGCAUGCCUUACACAUGCAAGUCGAACGGCAGCACGGGCUUCGGUCUGGUGGCGAGUGGCGAACGGGUGAGUAAUGUAUCGGAACGUACCAUUGAGUGGGGGAUAACGUAGCGAAAGUUACGCUAAUACCGCAUAUUCUCUCCGGAGGAAAGCAGGGGACCGCAAGGCCUUGCGCGCUUUGAGCGGCCGAGAUCCGAUUAGCUAGUUGGUGGGGUAAAAGCUCACCAAGGCGACGAUCUGUAGCGGGUCUGAGAGGAUGAUCCGCCACACUGGGACUGAGACACGGCCCAGACUCCUACGGGAGGCAGCAGCGGGGAAUAUUGGACAAUGGGGGGAACCCUGAUCCAGCCAUGCCGCGUGUGUGGAGAAGGCCUUAUGGUUGUAAAGCACUUUAAGCGAGGAGGAGGCUCUUUUGGUUAAUACCCAAGAUGAGUGGACGUUACUCGCAGAAUAAGCACCGGCUAACUCUGUGCCAGCAGCCGCAGUAA
This 501-nucleotide ribosomal RNA is filed under the name uncultured bacterium. Its description in RNAcentral is "partial 16S ribosomal RNA". It matches the Rfam family "Bacterial small subunit ribosomal RNA", at positions 30 to 523 of the family's 1533-position model. The record is from RNAcentral.